Molecule: small RNA, 659 nt
Filed under: Pan troglodytes (chimpanzee)
Lineage: Eukaryota; Metazoa; Chordata; Mammalia; Primates; Hominidae
Description: retained intron
Source: RNAcentral
CCCGGAACCGGUUUCCCGAGGUGCCCGAGGCGGCGUGCCAGCUGGUGUCCCUGGAGGGCCUGAGCCUCUACCACAAUUGCCUGAGAUGCCUGAACCCAGCCUUGGGGAAUCUCACAGCCCUCACCUACCUCAACCUCAGGUAGGGAGGCCGAGCCAGGGCCACGUGGGAGCGUGUGCUUCUCAGUCUCAAGUACUACUGAGUGACCCACCCAGUGACCCCGAGAGGAUGGCAGUGCUGGGAUGCCAUGCCUGGGGAGCCAGUCCGCUGCCUUUCUCCCUUCCACAGCCGAAACCAGCUGUCGCUGCUGCCACCCUACAUCUGCCAGCUGCCCCUGAGGGUCCUCAUCGUCAGCAACAACAAGCUGGGAGCCCUGCCCCCUGACAUCGGCACCCUGGGAAGCCUGCGACAGCUUGACGUGAGCAGCAACGAGCUCCAAUCCCUGCCCUCGGAACUGUGUGGCCUCUCUUCCCUGCGGGACCUCAAUGUCCGGAGGAACCAGCUCAGUACGCUGCCCGAAGGUGAGAAGAAUGAAGAACUGGAGAGGAGGUGUUUGUAUGUGCGUCCCAGUUGGCUCAGGCUGCGGUAACGAAAACACUGCAGACCGGGUAGCUUAUACAUGGCAGGCAUUCAUUUUUCACAGUUCUGGAAGCUGAAGUUC